Oryctolagus cuniculus (rabbit) is the source of this 1839-nucleotide long non-coding RNA. NCBI's taxonomy places the organism in Eukaryota, Metazoa, Chordata, Mammalia, Lagomorpha, Leporidae. The record is from Ensembl.
CAGCAGCCUGUCUCAGGGUCCCGUUCAGCCCUGGAUGAUGCGUGGACGGCACUAAGGGGUGGGGGAUGGGGGUGGGAGAGGAGGGGCUUGGAGCACACGGGAGGACCUCGCGCUGGGAAAACCUCACAGGCCAGCGGUGGCCAGUCAGGGACGCCCUCCGGAGAGGCUGGCUGGGCCCCAGCCCCGUCGGCAGACUCUGCCUUGGUUAUGUGAAAGGGUCAGAGCUGGCAGAGGGCGACUCCCCUGGCCCUCGGAGGGUGGGCUCCAGGGUGUCUCCCUGCUGGAGCAGAAAGCCUGGAGACCCAGCCUCCUGCACACUCACUCACACACUCACACAUGCAUGCACACACACACACAUGCAUACACUCACACAUGCACACACACAUGCACACCCCCACACACGCAUGCACAUGUGCACACACACAUGCACACCCCACACAUGCACACAUGCACACCCCCACACACGCCUGCACACCCCCACACAUGUGCACACACACAUGCACACGUGCACACCCCCACACAUGCACACGCACACCCCCACACAUGCAUGCACACGUGCACACCCCACACACACAUGCACACGUGAGUCCCUGGCACACACCCCCACACGCAUGCACAGUGCACACACCCGCACACACAUGUGCACACACACGUGCACACACCCCCACACAUGCACACGUGCACACACCCACACACGUGCACACAUGCAUGCACACGUACACACACACACGCACACACAUGCACACGUGCACACACCCCCACACAUGCACACGUGCACACCCACACACACGUGCACACACACAUGCACACGUGCACACCCCCACACACGCGUGCACACCCACACACACAUGCCCGUGCACACCCCCACACGUGCAUGCACACCCACACACACGCAUGCACACACCCACACACCCACACACACGUGCACACCCCCACCCCCACAUGCACACGUGCACACACACAUGCACAUGUGCACACCCACACACACGCAUGCACACGUGAGUCCCCCGGCACACCCCACACCCAAACCUUCCACACACUCGGCUGCUCCUCUGGGGAUGCUCCCAGCCGCCCUCGCCCAGCAUCCCCUGACCUUGAGUGCCUGCGGCUGUGCACGCCCGCCGGCUGGGCCUUUGCCUCUUCUCCGGAGACCAAGUUCUAGGCUGAGCCUAGAUGAGCUGAUGAGGGUGGGAGGAGGCACCUGCUUAUUGCUCGUCCCCACCUGCAGCUCCCCAUGCUGGGCAGGAGAGAGCCCAGACUGGCCCUGCCACCUUCCACUGCUGUCUGUGAGAGUCCCCAGCCCUGCCUGUGCCCAGGUCCCAGGCUCUGUGAGGAGGGGUCCGGCCCCAUCUGCCCCUGCUGCCGCCUCCCCACCCCCACCCUGGCUGCAGCACACAACAGAAGAGGAACAGCCCUUCCCCAAACUGCCCAACCCUGGUCCAGCCCUGGCCGUUGCGGCCAUGUGGGGAGUGAACCAGCAGAUGGAAGACCUCUCUCUCUCUCUCUCUCUCUGUGUGUGUGUGUGUGUGUGUGUGUGUAAGUCGCUUUUCAAAUCAAAUAAAUAAACAUUAAAAAAAAAAAAAAAAACAGACCAGGGCUGCCUGGGCCCCAGCCCCAGGGAUGCGGCUUGGUUGGCCUGGCUGCAGCCUGGGCUAAGGCGAGCUGGAGAACUCCCCACGUGACCCCAGGGUGAGGCCACUGGCCCGAAAGGAAGUGACUCCGGCCAGCACUGUAACAGAUCACUGGGCGUCGUGUGACCAAGUGGAUCAGGGCCCAGGAGCCUGCUAAGCCUGACCAGCUCCCACCGAAGUCCCUGCUGCUGCUCCUAGGGCCUGCAUC